This 483-nucleotide ribosomal RNA is filed under the name uncultured bacterium. RNAcentral's name for it is "bacterial SSU rRNA". It matches the Rfam family "Bacterial small subunit ribosomal RNA", at positions 28 to 511 of the family's 1533-position model. The record is from RNAcentral.
GAUGAACGCUAGCGGCAGGCUUAACACAUGCAAGUCGAGGGGUAGAAGCAGCUUGCUGCUUUGAGACCGGCGCACGGGUGCGUAACGCGUAUACAAUCUACCUUUUGCAGAGGGAUAGCCCAGAGAAAUUUGGAUUAAUACCUCAUAGUAUUUUCGAAUCGCAUGAUUUGAUUAUUAAAGUUCCAACGGUAAAGAUGAGUAUGCGUCCCAUUAGCUAGAUGGUAAGGUAACGGCUUACCAUGGCUACGAUGGGUAGGGGUCCUGAGAGGGAGAUCCCCCACACUGGUACUGAGACACGGACCAGACUCCUACGGGAGGCAGCAGUGAGGAAUAUUGGACAAUGGGCGCAAGCCUGAUCCAGCCAUGCCGCGUGCAGGAAGACGGUCCUAUGGAUUGUAAACUGCUUUUGUACGAGAAGAAACACUCCUUCGUGAAGGAGCUUGACGGUAUCGUAAGAAUAAGGAUCGGCUAACUCCGUGCCAG